This 90-nucleotide transfer RNA is filed under the name Hyphomicrobiales bacterium. RNAcentral describes it as "Rhizobiales bacterium (bioreactor metagenome) tRNA-Ser". It matches the Rfam family "tRNA". From Rfam's summary of the family: Transfer RNA (tRNA) molecules are approximately 80 nucleotides in length. Lineage: Bacteria; Pseudomonadati; Pseudomonadota; Alphaproteobacteria; Hyphomicrobiales. RNAcentral also lists the same sequence under 4 other names. The record is from RNAcentral.
GGAUGGGUGGCCGAGCGGUUUAAGGCACCGGUCUUGAAAACCGGCGUGCCCGCAAGGGUACCGUGGGUUCGAAUCCCACCCCAUCCGCCA